Long non-coding RNA from Juglans microcarpa x Juglans regia, 267 nucleotides. RefSeq lists it as uncharacterized. Lineage: Eukaryota; Viridiplantae; Streptophyta; Magnoliopsida; Fagales; Juglandaceae. The record is from RefSeq and is a predicted model, not a curated record. The transcript is spliced from 3 exons.
AAAAAAAAAAUUCGUAGGAUCAAAAGGGUCGAAACCCUUAUGGACUUCAUCUUCUGGCCGCAGCCUCUCUCUCUCUCUCUCUCUCUUCGAGUUUCUCACUUGUGGCUCUGUCAUCUUCUUCUCUCUCUCUUUCUCUCUCAUGCUGAAACCCUAGCUCCUGUCAUUCUUCUUCUGUCGAUCGAAGAUUUGUUCCUCGUGGCCAUCGUCUUCUACGUUUUCGCUCCGUCGUUGACUUCUACAACCCAAUUAGAUUCAAAAUAUUGUUAG